RNAcentral lists this non-coding RNA (135 nucleotides) under Jeotgalibacillus soli. Its description in RNAcentral is "FMN sequence". It matches the Rfam family "FMN riboswitch aptamer (RFN element)". Rfam says of the family: The RFN element is a highly conserved domain that is found frequently in the 5'-untranslated regions of prokaryotic mRNAs that encode for flavin mononucleotide (FMN) biosynthesis and transport proteins. The record is from Rfam by way of RNAcentral. Lineage: Bacteria; Bacillati; Bacillota; Bacilli; Caryophanales; Caryophanaceae.
GUAAUCCUUCGGGGCAGGGUGCAAGUCCCUACCGACGGUGAUGGACCUAGGUCCUUAGUCCGUGACCCGGCGAUGCCGGUGGAUUUGGUGAAAUUCCAAAGCCGACAGUGAUAGUCUGGAUGAGAGAAGGAAAAA